UAGGGAAUCUUCGGCAAUGGACGAAAGUCUGACCGAGCAACGCCGCGUGAGUGAAGAAGGUUUUCGGAUCGUAAAACUCUGUUGUUAGAGAAGAACAAGGACGUUAGUAACUGAACGUCCCCUGACGGUAUCUAACCAGAAAGCCACGGCUAACUACGUGCCAGCAGCCGCGGUAAUACGUAGGUGGCAAGCGUUGUCCGGACUUAUUGGGCGUAAAGCGAGCGCAGGCGGUUUCUUAAGUCUGAUGUGAAAGCCCCCGGCUCAACCGGGGAGGAUCAUUGGAAACUGGGAGACUUACGUGCAGAAGAGGAGAGUGGAAUUCCAUGUGUAGCGGUGAAAUGCGUAGAUAUAUGGAGAGACACCAGUGGCGAAGGCGACUCUCUGGUCUGUAACUGACACUGAGGCUCGAAAGCGUGGGGAGCAAACAGG
Molecule: ribosomal RNA, 429 nt
Filed under: Gemmatimonadota bacterium
Lineage: Bacteria; Pseudomonadati; Gemmatimonadota
Description: Gemmatimonadetes bacterium partial 16S ribosomal RNA
Rfam family: Bacterial small subunit ribosomal RNA
Source: RNAcentral